Molecule: ribosomal RNA, 392 nt
Filed under: uncultured bacterium
Lineage: Bacteria
Description: bacterial SSU rRNA
Rfam family: Bacterial small subunit ribosomal RNA
Source: RNAcentral
UGGGGAAAACCGCUGGAAACGGCGGCUAAUACCGAAUGUAGCGCCCGCUCGCAUGAGCGGAGCGCCAAAGGGGGCGAAAGCUCCCCCUCUUCGAGGGGCCCGCGCACCAUCAGCUUGUUGGCGGGGUAACGGCCCACCAAGGCUCACGGUUAGCUGGUCUGAGAGGAUGGCCAGCCGCACUGGGACUGAGAUACUGCCCAGACUCCUACGGGAGGCUGCAGUCGAGGAUCAUUUGCAAUGGGCGAAAGCCUGACAAUGCGACGCUGCGUGGAGGAUGAAGGCCCUCGGGUUGUAAACUCCUGUCAUGGGGGAAAAGGAAACCCUGCCCAAUACGCAGGGAAUUUGAUGGUACCCCAAGAGGAAGCGACGGCUAACUCUGUGCCAGCCGCUGC